ACAAAGCAAAGUCCAGAAUUUGGAGACCCGGGCUUGCACUCCCGAAGCUAGCAAAUGCAAGGGCUGGAGCCUCACCUCCAUUGACUUGGAAGUGCAACAGCCCCUGUGGGAAAACCAUAAUGUCACCCUUCUCAAGAGUUUGCAGAUAAGGUGUGUUAUCUGAGGCAACAAACCCGGCGCAGAUUGUCCCUUGGGCGACAAUUAGGACUUCUGAAGCUCCAGGGUGUGUGUGAAAUGGGACAACUCCGCCAACCGCCAAGUCUAGACGGGCGAUGGAAAUGCCGAGGCCAUUCACACCAGGAAACUGAGCAACAAAUGCAGGGGUGACUGCAGCUUUGAUGAUGUUACUGGUGUUACCAGCAAUGCCCAGGCCCGAGAACACAAAAUCAUUUACUUUAACACUUGCAGGCUUUUUGCAAGAGAAGCCUGCAGGGCCUUCAGGAGCUGCUAAGUCUGCAACACAGAAGUCUUGCACAGCCGCAUUGGAGGAGGAGAGGAGGAGAAAAAAUGUGAACAAGAUAGGGAAAAUCAUCGUUGCCUGGCGCAAUAGGUGUGUGGUGGCUGCAAGCUUUCUUUUCUUUUAAGGUGUGCAAGUCUUGAUAAGAAAAUUGGGAUCAUAUAUAGUGGGAUAAUGCAAAUAUCUUGAGCUAUUGCAAUUGGUUGCUGAGAAUAUGCUACCCAUGUAUUCACAUGUAUGGCAAUGCUAAAGGUAUACGAUGGGGGAAAGGACAGGUUUCAAGCUGUGAUGCAUGUGAGUAUGAUAUUUUUCUCGGAUAACAACAAGAAGCUUCUUUUUGUUUUGGGUUAUUGAUCGAAUGCUCCCUCAAUUUUUGCCCCAAUAUCAUUUUGGUCCAACAAUUAAAAUUUUCAUUUCAAUAGUCCUUCAACUCUUUAUUUGGUAUCAAAACGUUAAAAACUGUUCAUAUUACCGUUAAAUCAAGGGGUAAAAUUGUCCAUAUGAAUUAAAAUAUGAAUAAAAAAUUAAAAAUUGAAUGAACCUAUUAUAAAACUUAGAAAAUUAAAAAAAUUGAAUCUCACCGCCUACUGUAGUCCACUCACCAGCCACAUGGCCUUUUUUUUUUCUUUUUUUAUUGAGAUUGACUUAAAAAUUAAUAAAAACGACCAUCCGCAAAACGCAACCCCUCCCUUUUCCUCACCCAACACAAAUCCUCAAUGACUUGAUGGCCUCAAAAAGAGGCUGAAUUCCAAAGAUUUUGGUCCAUUAAAGCAGUUCCAGUGGACAAAUGCUGCCAGGGUUGUUGGUGGGCUCCACAAGCCUGGGCUGGCCCUCAAGCAAAACCAGCUCUUGCUCUAGCUUGGGUUUGCUGACAUCAGCGAUGACGUCAUCAACCAAAAUUUUAAAAAAAUUAAAAAUUAAAAAUUUCAAAAAUUUUAAAAAAUAAAUACUUAGUAAUAUUUUUCACUUCCCACACCAAAACUCUAUACAAAUUCCUCUCCUCAUAUCUCAUAUGAAUAGUGGUUACCAUGGUAAUGAGUGGAAACACCAUAAGCCUUUUGCAAGGGCUGCAACUAUUCACCUGAAUAGUAAUAGCCCUUGCCUCCCCUUGCCAUUUGCCAUGGCAAAUGGGUGGAAGUGCUCUUAGAUUCCAACAAAAACCCUUCUCUUCCUCUGGACUUUCGUCGAGCAACUGAUGGGAAACUCCAAGUCGCACCACCAGCAAACAAGGACCUUUAAGCCCAUUUCGAUGGCUGCCAUGGGGUCUGCCACUGCCUCCAACCCCUCUCUGAUUCCUAUGACGUCAUACGCCAAUUUCCUCUAGCCGUCAGAUCCAAGCAAAACUGGUCUCUCUGUUUUGGUGUUUCCAACUCGGCUCGCGGCUCCGAUUGUCCUUUCUGAGGCAAGCGCGAGGUUCACGACCACGUGGUUGGCUGCGAAGCCUGCAAGCGCGGCUUUCACCUCACAUGCACCGGAAUGCGCACUACCAAGCCAUGAAUUUGGAGAAAUGGGAAUGUGAGGAGUGUACGAGCAGUGGGGUUAGAAGCAAGUGCUGAACGUUUGGAGUUUUUUUUUUAAUUGGUUGAAAGGCCACCUGAAGUUAAGUUCAAGCAGAUUUUGCAAUAUUUUACUUUAAUUUUUAAUUACACUUCUUUUUCCAACAAAAAAAAAACUUUAUUAAUAUUUUAAUUUAUAUGGAUAGUUUUACCCCUCAAUUUAAUAAUAAAAUUGACAGACUUUGACGGUAGGACCAAUUUGAUACUAAACGGAGAGUUGAAGGACCAUUGAAAUGAAAAUUUUAGUUCAUGGACCAAAAUGAAACUGGAGCAAAAAUUAAAGGACCAUUCCAAUCAAUAACCCUUUUGUUUUUGCCCUAUGGUUUCAGAGUUACCACUAACCGUGAUGAAGCAGGCAUGAGUUCCCGAAUCUUUCGACGUUUGAGUACAAUCCCAUGUAGUAGUUUAAAAUUUUUUUGCCCACGAAGUGAUAAUUUGUUAGCUUUUUCCCAUCUGUGUUCUAUAGCUAUGACCAAUCAAACAGAUAAAGUAUAUAUUCAGCAUAUGCUGCAACUAUUUUCCUGAAUUGAUCAAUACAUUAACAAAAUAUAUAGGCUUAUUUCAUGUGUUGCUAGUACUGAAGGUUGUGUUUUAAGAUUUGAAAUCCAGCAGGAGAAGCCGAAAAAUGGUGAGCAGAUUGUGGCCCUUGAGAAAAUGGGGAAAGAUAUUCAAGGGAAGCCAUUUUGACAGCUAAAAAAUGCCAGAGGAAUGGGAAUUCUGUGGAUAUCAAAAAUUCCCCUUCUUGUAGGGUUCUUGGAUUUCAAUAUAGGAUGGUAAAAUGUCUCUUCAAAUUCUGUCUCUUUGUGGUGUAUCUUUACUAAGAUUCUUCUAGAGUUCACCUUAUCAUUAGAAGAUGGCACCAACACCACAUUGCUUUUACAUGAAUAUGAGCCAAUGAUUACCAAAAACCAAAAAAAAAAACAAAUUUAUAUGAGCAAAUGUAGAAUAAUGUAUGGACAAUUAAUUCAAUCUCAAUUAUGUGGUAUGACAUAAUGGAAAAACUCAUAUUCAUAUAAAGAUGUAGACAAUCCAAUCUCAAUUAUGUUAUGUUAACAAGUAAUUUUUUUGUCCUUAACCAAGUUGACAGAGAAAAAUUAAGGAGUCCCAAAUGCAUUGCUCUUAUACCUCCCUUUGUAACACUGACUCCGGCUCAUGGACGCCAGUCUCCUUAAUCUUAGUGAUUAGGGAUCCAGCAGAAACUUUAUACACAAAGCAGUCUUCAACAAUCAUCCUCUAUACCCUUAAGCCUUCCAGUGAUCCCGUAGCCACGACAACGUCUUCCUGAUGAAUUACACUCGUUAAAUUUAAGAAAAAAAACUCUCACUUCACCUGGAGUCAGUAAAAGAUGUACAAUGUAGAUGAAGGAAGUUGAGGUUCCACCCCAAAAUCAAUUGACAAUGGGGGGAGUAGCCCAACUCUCAGUAGACAUCAUAAGAAGAAAGGAGCACUAUCACUUACAUCAACAACAAGAAUACCACCUGCCACUUCCUCAAAGUCCUGCAUACCCGUUAUAUAUUGGGGAAGGUUAGAAAAACAGAUGGAAGAAGUACUAAGAAGAAAGGAGCAAUAUCACUUACAUCAUCAACAACAUGAAUACCACCUGCCACUUUCUCAAGGUCCUGCAUUCCAGUUAUAUAUUGUGAAUUGAAAAUUAGAGAAACAGCUGGAAGAAGAACUAAAUUAACAUGUACCUUUAUGUACAACAUGGUUUAAAAUUCAAAUCACUUUAUGCGCACCUCCAUAUAGGAACCAUCGGGACCAAAAAGAAGUGUUUUCAGUUCGGAAUGUUGUUCCUGCACAAAAUAUAGAUUAGACCAAAGGCUCAUAUUACUUGCCCAAUGCUCACAUUAAUUCCAAAUUUGAUAAAAAUUAUAAAGAUCAAGCAAAAGCUGUAACACCAUGUUACAGUGCUGAAGUUAAGAAGUACGCCACUUAACGGUGUGCAGUAAGGAAAUAAUACACAGCCGUUUAAUUGUUUUUGCUAGAUGUUUUUCUAACUGUUGGCAAUAUAAUUGGGGUGCAGGCACUUAAAAAACUGGCAGGUUGUAAUGUUGUUCUUGCUGAGGUAAGUGUUACAGUUGCUUUGUGAUUUUGAUGGCUACAUUGCUUGCACAUCUUGUUCUAUCUAAUAUUUUUAAUCUGCAUGUAAACUAUCAGUGGAAGGAGGCAUUAUUUUAGCUAUAGGCCCAUUUGAAGGAUUAAGGUUGAUGAGGACAUUCAUGGAAGACUGCAUUGUUUGCAACGUUUCCCCUCGAACCCUUAUCCGUCGGGUCAGAGAUGUGGAUUGUAUGGCUGUUUACGGUAAUCUGCGUUAUAUCUCUGGUGACGGCUUUGAGUGCAAGGAAUGAUUUUGGAGCCGUUGCCUUCUUUUCUCUGUGAAUUCUGAAUUCUAUAUGGGGUCGAGAGUAGUAUGUCUUGAUCUCUUGGACUACAGGGGUUCAAGAUAUUUGUGAUCACUCAUCGUUGGAUAUAAAUUCAAUGGUUCACUCACUCUUGCACUCCUUUUAAAUAACUUUUUUGAACUACUAGAUUAAUAUCUAACGGUGGGUGACUACAAUCUCUUGGACUCCUGUGGUCCAAGAGAUCGGGACUGUGAACAUUAGUAUUAAACAAUUUCCUCCGUUCAUCAAACAUUAUUUUGGUAUAUAUAGUUACCAACUUUCCAUAUUAUCCUUAUUAUUUUCUUAACAAUACGAUAUUCUAAACUACUCUAAAAUACGGAGAGGGAGAUUUGAGCUCAGGUGCAACUGGGUGGACACAGCUGCUAAUGCGUGUGCUCCUUAUUUUCAAAUCUAUUAUUUGAUUACAGGCCUUCUCAAUCACAAGAAGAAAACAAAGGGACAAUCUUUAGUGACCUUCUUCCUCUUCGGUAUCUCAAUAGACCUUAUUAGUGCCACCAAGAACACCCUUAAGCUUCUUUAUCUGAGGAGCAUCAAGUAAAGUAGUCUGCGCUAUCAAUUCGGUAGCUAAGUCAUUUUUGAAGAGUGCAAAGUCCACAAUCUGCAGACCAGGGCUUGGACUGCUGAAGCUAGGAAAUGCAAUGGCCGGAGUGUCACCUCCAUUCACUUGGAAGUGCAAUAGUCCUUGAGGGAACACGAUAAUGUCACCCUUCUUAAGAGUUUUCAGAUAAGGUGUGUUAUCUGAGGCAACAAACCCGGCAAUUAUUGUCCCUUGGACAACAAGUAAAACUUCUGAAGCUCCGGGGUGAGUGUGAAAGGGGACAACUCCACCCGGACCCAGGUCUAAACGAGCCAGUGAAAUGCCAAGGCCAUUCACACCAGGAAAUUGGGCAGCAAAUGCAGGGGUGACUGCUGCUUUGAAGAUAUUUGUGGUGUUACCAGCAAUGCCUAGGCCUGAGUACACAAAAUCAUUGACGGUAACUAUUGCGGGCUUUUUGCAAGAGUAGCCUGCAGGGCCAUCAGGAGCUUUGUAGUCUGCAACACAGAAGUCUUGCACAGAGGCAUGGGAAGUGGAGAGGAGGAGAAAAAAUGUGAAGAAGAUAGGGAAAAUCAUCUUGGCUGAGUGUAGCAGGUAUUUGUUUAAGCCUUUUUGAGGUGUGCUUCUGUAAAGCAAAUUGGGAUUUACAUAUAUAGCGGGAUAAAGCGAAUAUCUUGAACCACUGCAAUUGGUUGGUACUAGGUAGGAAUUUGCCCAUAUAGGACUCACAUGCAGGGGCGGUGGCAGGGUAGGCAGCCGCCAACUCCAUUUUUUGCCAAACUAAAAAUUACUCAAUACCCAAUACAAUCAAAUUUCUUCUGUUUACUCAAACCCAACCCACCAGGGGCAGUCCUACCCUAAGAGCAGGGUAGGCAGCGGCUACUCCAUUUUUUGCCAAACCAAAAAUUAUCCAAUACCCAAUACAAUCAAAUUUCUUCUGCCUACUCAAACCCAACCCGCUCAAAUUUUUUCCUUUAACAAAAACAAUAGCCUAGCACACUCAAACUUUCUCCUUUAACAAGAACAAUAAAAAGCAAUAUAAGCAUGUGAAAGAUGUGAAAGUUGUAUGAAGAUUUUUUUUUUUUUUAAAAUUACAAAAAAGGUGGUAGGAGUGUCACCUCUUCGAGCCGGGCACGAAUUAUGGGAAAGUUCUCCCCAAGAGGUUCGUUACACAUGCAGAGGAUCGAACUCAGGACCUCAGUGUGGAGCCCGAUCACAUUCGCCCAACAUGUGUGGCCUAGCCCAUUCAAUUUUCCACUAGACCAAACCCACUUGGGUAUGGAGAUAUUUUUCAACGUUGACUAACAUUGUGAAUUUUGUUAGUGCGUCUGCUAAGCGCUGUAAUGAGUUAAAUUUAUUUCGAAAAGCUAAACUCAAAGAGUUGUUAGAUUUUGGGGAACUUGAGACAGAUAGAAGACUUAAUCAAGGUCGUAGUUUGAAACGAGCUGGAGCCGCUCGUUGGGGAUCUCACUUUGCCUCUAUUACAAGUUUGAUGAGUUUAUUUAAAGAGACUAAAAUACUUCUCCAAGAAAUCAGUGAUUAUGGACCUAACCAACAAUUUCAUGGCAAUGCAAAGAGUAACUAUAUUGCUAUGAUGUCUUUUGAGUUUGUGUUUUCAUUGUUUUUGAUUGAUAAAAUAAUGGGAUUGACCAACUUUCUUUGUCAACUGUUUCAGACAAAAACCUAAGAUAUUGCAAGUGCUUUAAACUUUGUUGAAAACACGAAAUCACAGUUCCAAGAUAUGAGGGCACAUGACUGGGAUGAUUUAUUCAUGGGUGUGGUAUCAUUUUGUGAACAACAUGGUAUUAAUGUUCCUGAUAUGAGUUCUCGUUAUAUGAGUCCCUACCAUAAGAAUGAGGAAACCCGCUUCUUUAUUAUAUUUUGUAAAUAUCUCUUCCUUCCCUUCCAAAGAAUAUUUUUCUUAGAAGUCGGCGAAUCGUAAAAGGACUUGUAUAAAAUGAUUGCUAUCUUUCGGCUUUCCACUUACCCGGUUCCCCACGCGGCGAAUGGGUACGUCCGGGGUCGAUCGUAUAGAUUGACGCAAAAUUUUUUUAUUUUAACGAAUCGUGCCGCCGAAGAAACCUCACCCUAACCACAUAAAGCCAAAAAAUUAGCGGUCGUUUUUGUCAAUAAAAAGAUUUUAUUACAGUUGAACAUUACUAUUACAUUAAUGUAUUUAAUGAUGUGAUAGAUUGCAUGGUGAGGGAGUUAAAUGACAGAUUUCUAGAGCAAACAGUUAAACUUUUUAUUUUUAGCUCAGCAUUUGAUCAUCGUAAUUCCUUCAAAUCAAUCAAUAUUGGGCAUCUAUGUAAACUUGCUGAGAAAUUCUAUCAUGCUGAUUUCAGUCCAAGUGACUUGAAAGCUUUAGAAAUUGGGAUGAGGUAUUUCAAAAUGAUAAGCAUCGCCUUCCCCGCUUUAAGGACCUCACCACUCUUCCUCAGUUAUGUCAACAAUUGGUGGAAACAACUUUGGGAGAAAACUACUAUUUGCUUUACAAGUUGAUUUAGUUGGUGUUGACUCUUCAUGUUUCUACAGCAACAAAGAACGAGCUUUUUCAUUUAUGAGAAUUAUUAAGAAUAGACUUUGGAGCACCAUAGCUGAUGAAUUCCUUACUGAUUGCAUGAUUCUCCACAUUGAAAGAGAGUUUGCUCAUAAUAUCGAUAAUGAAGAGAUAAUUGAGGAAUUUAAGAUUUUUAAGCCUUGCAGGGUAAAGUUUUAGAUUUAAAUAGUUUAGUUUUGUGUUGCAUUGCAUUUACUUCUUGUUUUUCUGUUAAGCGUUUAUUUAUAUAUAGAUAUGCAUAUUUGAUGGUAAGGCUCAUUACGUCCCCCCUAACUAGAUGUAUCUUUUUCUUCUUUUUUUUGUGCCCCUAAAGUGAUAAUUUGUUAGCCUUUUCCCAUCUGUGUUCUAUAGCUAUGACCAAUCAAACAGAUGAAGUAUAUAUUCAGCAUAUGCUGCAACUAUUUUCCUGAAUUGAUCAAUACAUUAACAAAAUAUAUAGGCUUAUUUCAUGUGUUGCUAGUACUGAAGGUUGUGUUUUAAGAUUUGAAGUCCAGCAGGAGAAGCCGAAAAAUGGUGAGCAGAUUGUGGUCCUUGAGAAAAUGGGGAAAGAUAUUCCAGGGAAGCCAUUUUGACUGCUAAAAGGUGCCAGAGGACUGGGAAUUCUGUGGAUAUCAGAAAUUCCCCUUCUUGUAGGGUUCUUGGAUUUCAAUAUAGGAUGGUAAAAAGUCUUUACAACUUCUGUCUCUUUCUGGUGUAUCUUUACUAAGAUUCUUCUAGAGUUCACCUUAUCAUCGGAAGAUGGCACCAACACCACAUUGAUUUUACUUGAAUAUGAGCCAAUGAUUACCAAAAAAGAAAAAAGAAAAACAAAUUUGUAUGAGAGCAAAUGUAGAAUAAUGUAUGGACAAUUAAUUCAACCUCAAUUAUGUGUUAUGACAUAAUGGAAAAACUCAUAUUCAUAUAAAGAUAUAGACAAUCUAAUCUCAAUUGUGUUAUGUUAAUAAGUAAUUUUUUCGUCCUUAACCAAGUUGACAGAGAAAAAUUAAGGAGUCCCAAGCGCAUUGCUCUUACACCCGCACCGUGUACACCCGCCUUUGUAACACUUUCCCGGCUCAUGGACGCCCGUCACCUGGAGUCAGUAAAAUAUGUACAAUGUAGACAUCAUAAGAAGAAAGCAGCACUAUCACUUACAUCAACCACAAGAAUACCACCUGCCACUUCCUCAUCCUCAAAGUCCUGCAUACCAGUUAUAUAUUGGGGAAGGUUAGAAAAACAGCUGGAAGAAGUACUAAGAAGAAAGGAGCAAUAUCACUUACAUCAUCAACAAUAUGAAUACCACCCGCCACUUUCUCAAGGUCCUGCAUUCCAGUUAUAUAUUGUGAAUUGAAAAUUAGAGAAACAGCUGGAAGGAGAACUAAAUUAACAUGUACCUUUAUGUACAACAUGGUUUAAAAUUCAAAUCACUUUAUGCACCUCUAUAUAGGAACCAUUGGGACCAAAAAGAAGUGUUUUCAGUUCGGAAUGUUGUUCCUGCACAAAAUAUAGAUUAGACCAAAGGCUCAUAUUACUUGCCUAAUGCUCACAUUAAUUCCAAAUUUGAUAAAAAUUAUGAAGAUCAAGCAAAAUCUUUAACACCAUGUUCCAGUGCUGAAGUUAAGAAGUACGCCACUUAAUUAAUGGUGUGCAGAAAGGAAAUAAUACACAGCUGUUUAAUUGUUUUUGCUAGAUGUUUUUCUAACUGUUGGCAAUAUAAUUGGGGUGCAGGCACUUUAAAAACUGGCAGGUUGUAAUGUUGUUCUUGCUGAGGUAAGUGUUACAGUUGCUUUGUGAUUUUGAUGGCUACAUUGCUUGCACAUCUUGUUCUAUCUAAUAUUUUUAAUUUGCAUGUAAACUAUCAGUGGAAGGAGGCAUUAUUUUAGCUAUAGGCCCAUUUGAAGGAUUAAGGUUGAUGAGGACAUUCAUGGAAGACUGCAUUGUUUGCAACGGUUCCCCUCGAAACCCUUAUCCGUCGGGUUAGAGAUGUGGAUCGUAUGGCUGUUUACGGUAAUCUGCGUUAUAUCUCUGGUGACGGCUUUGAGUGCAAGGAAUGAUUUUGGAGCCGUUGCCUUCUUUUCUCUGUGAAUUCUGAAUUCUAUAUGGGGUCGAGAGUAGUAUUGAACAUUAGUAUAUUAAACAAUUUCCUCCGUUCAUCAAACAUUAUUUUGGUAUAUAUAGUUACCAACUUUCCAUAUUAUCCUUACUUUUUCAAAUUUUUUUCUUAACAAUACGAUAUUCUAAACUACUCUAAAAUACGGGGAGGGAGAUUUGAGCUUAGGUGCAACUGGGUGGACACAGCUGCUAAUGCGUAUGCUCCUUAGUUUCAAAUCUAUUAUUUGAUUAGUUCGGGGUUUUAGAGUAUAUUAUAUCAUUCUUAUUUCUUGAUUGACAAAGCAGGUUAUCUUAAUAAUAUAGAUAUUACAACGAAUCUGGACCUGGAGAUGCAUUGUCAUCUUAAUUAAGAUACAAAUAGAUGGGGCAUUUGCCUUCAACACAAUGAUACUUCUACAAGCAUACAAAAAGCACGAACUAGAGUAAAAUUUUACUGGUAAUGCAGAAACUGCCACUGGGCAAAACAAUCCUAAACUUACAGGCCUUCUCAAUCACAACAAGAAAACAAAGGGACAUGAAAUAAAAGAAAGAUUCAAUCUUUAGUGACCUUCUUCCUCUUCGGUAUCUCAAUAGACCUUAAUUAGUGCCACCAAGAACACCCUUAAGCUUCUUUAUCUGAGCAGCAUCAAGGAAAGUAGUCUGCGCUAUCAAUUCGGUAGGUAAGUCAUUUUUGAAGAGUGCAAAGUCCAGAAUCUGCAGACCAGGGCUUGGACUGCUGAAGCUAGGAAAUGCAAGGGCCGGAGUGCCACCUCCAUUCACUUGGAAGUGCAAUAGUCCUUGAGGGAACACCAUAAUGUCACCCUUCUUAAGAGUUUUCAGAUAAGGUGUGUUAUCUGAGGCAACAAACCCGGCAAUUAUUGUCCCUUGGACAACAAGUAAGACUUCUGAAGCUCCGGGGUGAGUGUGAAAGGGGAUAACUCCACCCGGACCCAGGUCUAAACGAGCCAGUGAAAUGCCAAGGCCAUUCACACCAGGAAAUUGGGCAGCAAAUGCAGGGGUGACUGCUGCUUUGAUGAUAUUUGUGGUGUUACCAGCAAUGCCUAGGCCUGAGUACACAAAAUCAUUGAUGGUAACUUUUGCAGGCUUCUUGCAAGAGUAGCCUGCAGGGCCAUCAGGAGCUUUGUAGUCUGCAACACAGAAGUCUUGCACAGAGGCAUGGGAAGAGGAGAGGAGGAGAAAAAAUGUGAAGAAGAUAGGGAAAAUCAUCUUGGCUGAGUGUAGCAGGUAUUUGUUUAAGCCUUUUUGAGGUGUGCUUCUGUAAAGCAAAUUGGGAUUUACAUAUAUAGCGGGAUAAAGUGAAUAUCUUGAACCAUUGCAAUUGGUUGGUAGGAAUGUGCCCAUGUAGGACUCACAUGUGGAAAGAUGUUAAGCAUACGGCAAACGACAGAUUUCAAGCUAGCUGUGAUGCAUGUGAACAUGAUAUUUUCUUCAUAUAACAACAAGAAGCCUCUUUUUGCUUUUGAAAAUGCAGUAACAGCAAGAUCUUAUUAAGAAAACAACUGACCUACGGUUUCAGAGUUAUCACUAAUUAAUCAUGCUGCAUAUCUAACAAGAGAAUCCAAGGUUUUGUUUUAAGAUUAAAAGUCCUUGAAGGUCUGAAAAAGGCACAACAGAUUGCGGUCCUUGAGGUUUGAGCACAUGGGAGAAAGAUAUUAUGGGGGCAUAAGAAGACAUUUUGACAGCUAAAAGGAGGCAGGAAAAUGGGAAUGUGUGGCUAUGAGAAGUUCCCCUUCUUGCAGGGUGCUUGGAUUUCAUUAUUGAGAACUGUAAAGUCUUCUCAAAUUCUGUCUCUUUGUAUGUCUUAGCUGCAAUAUUCCUCUAGAGUUGAGUCAAUGUAGAAACUUAUAUUACAAAUUACACAUCGUGCCUUGAGCUUCAUGCACGUAAUAUCGAUGCCUCAGUUGAAGUUUCUCACUAAUAUGCUUUAUAGCAGUGGAUUUUCAAAACAAUGCCCCUAUAAGUUAUGCUACGUUCUAUUUACCAACAUUUACUGUCAAUUUUUUUUACGCAGAUUUGGCUUAGAGACAAACGAAAUGUGGCGGUAACUUUUCUCUUUUGGUCAUAAUCUGUGGUUAAUUUGAGUUCAGUUACUUCAUUACUCAGUUGCAGAAUGUAAAAAUGAGAAGGAAUCUUUUCUUUUGCCUAGGUCUAAAAUCCUAUAUUUUGCGUGUGUGGUGUUUAUAGAAGCUUUCAAGAUAAGGUUAUGAGCUUUUAGGAUAACCAUCCGCAGGGUGUAGCCUUCCAUCUUUCACUUUCAGCCAACAAAUACAAAAGCUCCGUACAGAAUUUUGUUUGUGAAGUUGUCCAAAACACUAUGAUAUGUGCCACUGAUUCUAAAUACAAAAAAAUAUAGAUACAAUAGUAUAGAAUGAGUUAUAUAUCAACAGUACAUUAUACAAUUCUGAGUGAAGGAAAAAAGGUACAUAUAAAAUUCUUUGCAUGUAAAGAAUCUGAAGAUCAAGAUUUAAACACAGAAUGUCAUGCUUAAAUAGAAAAAAGGUUAUGAGCAACACCCAGAAACCAAAUCACCAAAAGCUAAAUUCAAAUCAAAAACCAGAAAAGGGAGUUCUGCCCAUUUCUCAUGAACCAAAUCACCAAAAGCUAAAUAUGAACUUAAAUGGAUGAGAUUUGAGGAUUUGAAGGAAUGAGAGAAAAUGAUGGGACAGUCCCUCCAAUAAAGCAUGAGGUUCAUGAAAUUUCAUUACAUUAGAAAAUAAAGCUUCAAAGGGGAAAAUGAUAAAUAAGUUUUUGGUAUUUCCUGUUUGUUCAAAAAAAGAAAAAAAAAAGAAAAAAAAAAGUAGGGAUAGAUUGAAUGGUUGAGGAUGAAUGAGAAGAUUGAGCAUUGUGCAAAUCUUGUUUGCAAUACUGGUUUCCUUAAUUAUGUUAAGUGAAAAGUAAUAUGAAAAUAAAUUAAAUAUCAAUCUCUUUUUGUUAUUUAUUGGACAAUGUGGGUAAAGUCAAAAUGUCAAAAGGAAAAAAAGCUCGUAGAAGAAGAAAAAGUAGGUCCA
RNAcentral lists this long non-coding RNA (12606 nucleotides) under Prunus persica (peach). Its description in RNAcentral is "long non-coding RNA (PPER_LNC007488)". The record is from RNAcentral. Lineage: Eukaryota; Viridiplantae; Streptophyta; Magnoliopsida; Rosales; Rosaceae.